AUGUUGGAUCAGAUUGAAUUGGAUGAUCAGGAUUUGGUCACAAUGGAACUAGAAUGGGUCUUUUAUGACCUUAAAGAGAGGAAGGUCAGGAAAGAAAUGGUUCAUAAAGGAGUAAUAAGGAGAAGGAGAUGGUGGGUGAGAUCUCCAGGCCACAUCUCCAUCUAUUACACUGUAAUCUCCAGGAAGACAGACAGAGUAUCCUACUUAAAAUUUGUUGCUCUUAGGGCAAAUAUUUUUUCUACUUCCAAAAAAGGGAAGAGGUUAAAAUCUACAAAUUAUAGAGGGAUAUGGAGUCUUCAUCUAAAGAAACAUUUCCUUGUCAUCUGAGCUGUCCAGACAAAGAAUAUUGUCCCUUGGAAGAAAACUUUCCAUGUAAGAGGAAAAUCCCUUUGUCAACAUGGAUGGGUGCUCCUCUUCUACAAUUCAAAACUAUAUACAUGAAAUUCAACAAACACAUUGUCUCUACUUAAGCUUGUUAUGCCCUGUCACUCAAUUGUAUCUGACUCUGUGUGACUCCGUGGAAUGGAUUUUUAUGGGCAAAAAUACUGAAGUGGUUUGCCAUUUCCUUUUCCAGUGUGUUCCCAUUUUACAGAUGAGGAAGUGAUGCAAAUAUCAUGGUCACAUUGCUAGUAUGUAUCUGAGGCCAGAUUUGAAUUCAGGAAGAUGAGUCUUCCUUCUUUCAGGCCCAGCAUUCUAUCUGCUGCACCACCUCGCUGUCCUUUAAAUAUUCAAAGCCCUUUCCCAAUUCAAUACUGUAAAACAAUUUCAUUAGAGUUAAAUGAUUAUAUCUACUGGGGCUCAUUGUUGCAGGGUGGGCAGAUCACUGUAGAAGACCUGCUCAGUGUUUAAAGUGGACCUUUGCAGGCUCAUAGGAUCAGAGAUCCAACGUUGAUAGGGACCAAAGAGGCUACCUUUGUUCAAUUGUCUUUUUCUUUCUUUCCUUUUGUUUUAAAUUUAAAUUUUUAUUUAAUUAAUUAAUUUAGAAUGUUUCCAUGGUUACAAGAUUCAUGUUCUUUUCCCUCCCUCCUCCCCCUUUUCCGCCCCACCAGCUGACACACAAUUCCACUGGGUUUUACAUGUGUCAUUGAUCAAGACCUAUUUCCAUAUUAUUGAUUCUUUCUUUUUUUUUAAAACCUUUAUGUUCUUUCUUAGAAUUGAUAUUCUGUAUUGGUUCCAAGGCAGAAGAGUGGUAAGGGCUAGGAAACUGGAGUUAAGGGACAUGCUUAGGGUCACACAGCUAGGAAGUGUCUGAGGUCACAUUUGAACCCAGGACCUCCUGUCUCUAGGUCUGGCUCUCAAUCCAAUCAGCCCCCUAGCUGCCCCUUUGUCCAACCAUCUUGGAGAAUUGCUUAUCCUCAGUAAC
Molecule: long non-coding RNA, 1363 nt
Filed under: Monodelphis domestica (gray short-tailed opossum)
Lineage: Eukaryota; Metazoa; Chordata; Mammalia; Didelphimorphia; Didelphidae
Description: lncRNA (ENSMODG00000045302.1)
Source: RNAcentral